CCCUGCCCCGGUGGGCAUGCACACAAAAACAUCCCUGUCACCUGCACACAACAGGGGCAGUAAUUUACAAUAUUCCAUCGACAGUCCGAUUUGGGCAAUGGCAUUACUCAGAUAUGUUUAAUGACAAUAACUGAUCAUGCUAGCUAGUAGUAGGUAACAGUCAAUGAACUGGUUGAAGAAUUGGCUAAUUAGCUACCUAGCUAGUUAGAUAGCCCGCGGCUGGCUAAGAUUAGCUAAAACUAGAAGAGCCGUUCAUAGGCUGUGAGCUGAAUGACACCCAGAGAAAGGCAGUGUUUGAAAUAGAGGAGGAUUUGUUGGAGCAUCAGUUCUUUAUCCGAAUGAUGUGUCUGAGUGCAGAGGCCAGUAA
Molecule: long non-coding RNA, 367 nt
Organism: Salvelinus namaycush (lake trout)
Lineage: Eukaryota; Metazoa; Chordata; Actinopteri; Salmoniformes; Salmonidae
Exons: 3
Source: RefSeq, a predicted model, not a curated record